RNAcentral lists this long non-coding RNA (2674 nucleotides) under Gossypium barbadense (sea-island cotton). RNAcentral describes it as "long non-coding RNA (GBAR_LNC003739)". The record is from RNAcentral. Lineage: Eukaryota; Viridiplantae; Streptophyta; Magnoliopsida; Malvales; Malvaceae.
GGAAACAAAGAAAAGAAACAGAAUAGGCAAACGAAAAGCAGGGGAAAGAAAGAAAGAAAGGAGAAAGAAAAGAAAAAGGGAGAACUAGGAUUUGAAGGUUUGGAAGUUUAAUAGGUAAGUUAAUUUAGCCUAUUUUACUUAAUUUUGAUAUUUUAAAAGCUUUAGAACAAAGUUUUGAUGAAAUUAAAUUAAUAUUUUGAAAGUUAUUAGAAUUCUAAAUAUUGUUCAUGUUGAAUAAAAAAAUGAAUUAGGGGUUAGAUUGAUAGGAAUUCAAGUUAGAAAUGAAAUAAGGAUUGAAUUGUAAAGUAAUUCAUAAGUUUUAUGUUGAAAGGACUAAAUUGAUGAAAUUUUCGAAAUUAGGAAAAUAUGCUGAAAUUUUGAUUGUUAAGUUGAGUUUGGACAAAAUUUGAAUAGAAAUGAAGUAUGAAUUGAGAUAGAAAAAGUAAGUGAAUUUAGUUAAGAUUAAAUUGAAAUUAAAGUAGAAAUUGAAUCAAAAUUUAUUAAUUAGAUAUAAAUUAGUAGAGAAUUAACGAAUAUGAAUUGUUUUAAUUCCCAUAGCUAAUGUUGUCUCGGGAAAUCUCGGCUAAGCAAGGAAAAAUGGCAAAGACAACGGGAGUUAGCUCGAGAAAAUACGGUUUGUAUUUCUAUAAUCCGAACUCAGUCAUUAUUUGUUAUAUUUAUAUACAGAUGACAAUUGUUAGUGUUAGAAUUAUGAUAUUUUACAAUUGAAAUGGAUUGAUUUUGGUAUGUGAUGAAUUUAUCAAAUUUAUAUUGGUUGAAAUCAUUUUGAUUGAAUUUAUAUUGAUUGAAAUAUAUAAUAUAUAAUAUAUAUAUGAUUUAUGUAAAAAUUUGAAUAUUGAAUGAAUGUUAUAUUGAAAAAAAAUUAUAUUGAUUGGAAAUUUGAGGGAAUUGAUAUGAAUAUAUGUGAUUAUUAGAAUGGUAUAUUGAUGAAAGACUUAUUAAAUUGAGAAAGUGAAUCAAAUACCCUAUUAACAGUAUCGGACCAGAUUGGAUACAAAUGGCAUUCCAUUGGAUUUGUGAUGUGAUGGGGAGAUUUGUAGUUCGGCCGAGAAGAUGUUUCUGUUAUUCGGUUUAUCCGAAGAGGCAUUUAAUGCAUUAUUGGUGUGUUUGGGAGGAUAUGAUAUACUGGUGUGUUUGGGAGGAUUUAUAAUAUUCCGGGUGUGUUUGGGUUGGAUAUUCUGGUGUGUUUGGGAGGAAUCCGUGUAUCUAUCAGAGUCCGGGUCUUGUUAAUAGGGGUAAAUAAGUGAAAAGAUAAAUCGAGUGAAUUUGAUUGAUUGAGCUAUUGGAAUGAAAUGAGAAAUUGAAUUGAGAAUUGAAAUUGAGAUAUGAGAUUGAAAACAUGAACCAAAAGGUUCAUGAAAUGAGUGAAGUUCAAAUAGAUGAUGAUUGAUGUUAGAAUGAAUUAAAAUGGUAUAUUGUUAAGAAGUAAAGUGUGAAUACAAAUGAAUUGUGAAUAUAUUGUAAAGAAUUUAUACGGUAAGCAAAUGAAAAGAAUUGAGCAAAUAUAUUGUUGUGUUUGUUAUAUGGCUUGUAUAGAAUUUUUAUGGUAAGUAAAUGAAACUUAUCUAUAAAAUAAAUAAAUGAAUAGUUAUAUUUGUUAUUGUGAUUUUAAGUUUAAUUGUUAUAUUAUCAAGUGUUUGGAUUAUAGAAAUACCACUGAGUAUACUAUACUCAGCGUACGGUUUAUUUCUGUGCGCAGGUAAAGUAAAGAUAGAACGUUGAAUCAGCAUCCCAGGCCGAUCCCGAAUUCAAUGAGGUAAAGUGUGUUAAUUAUGGGUAAUGGCAUGUACCUAGGAUGUCUUAUGUGUGUGUCAUUUUGAAAUUGUAAAUGUAAGGAUGAAAUAAAUAAAUUUAGGUUUGGUUAUGGUAUAAAAUAGGAUUUGACUAAUUUGAUAUGAAUUUGAAUUUUUGUGAGACAAUGUCAGAUUGAUUUUGGAAUUCCCUAUUCUGAAUUGGGAAAAUCAUUAAAAAUUGUAUAAAAAUAAUUAUGAGCUAUAAUUUAUAUGCUUAGAAUAUUUAAUGAGUCUAUUUUCAAGAGAAAUAAACGGGAACAUCAUCCGAGUCCUAUGCUAUGAGAUAAUUAAAUUUUAGUAAAAAAAGGGUUGAAGUUGUCAAAUAGCAGACCAGGGGUAACUUUGAGGAAUAAACUGUACUAAUUGGCUAUAUUAAAAAUUCUGAAAAUUUUAUGGUAGAAAGGUAUGAGUCUAGUUUUAAGGAAAAUUAACGGAACUUAAUUUGAAGUUUCGUAGCUCUAGUUAUAAAUAUUUUAGUGACUGCUGCUCAAGAAGACAACUUUGACAUAAACAUAAGAAAAUAAUGGAAUUGUGUGUAAUUAUUCUGUAAACUCCGGUAAUGCUCCAUAACCCUCUUCUGGUGACGGUUUGGGGUUAAGGGGUGUUACACUAACCACCAAUUCUUCCUCUUGUAGCUGAUCACGAUAUGACCUGCAAACCAACCCUUACCGAUAAUCUAACCGAGAUACACGUGUUCUCGAUUCAAGAUUCUGGUAGCCUUACGCUCUGAAGAACCCAACUCGAAUUAACGGCUUUAACUGCGUGGGUUGUUUAAACCCGAUCACUUCUUCCUUGAUUUGUUCUCGAAGAUCCGAAUAUAGCACGGCCGACUCGUUUCUCCAACUGUCAGCAAACACGGC